RNAcentral lists this long non-coding RNA (2553 nucleotides) under Homo sapiens (human). RNAcentral describes it as "non-protein coding lnc-FREM3-6:1". The record is from RNAcentral. Lineage: Eukaryota; Metazoa; Chordata; Mammalia; Primates; Hominidae.
CUUUCUUUCCCUUUUGCGCGCGUUCGAUAUGCUUGUCUCUACUACCAACUCCUCAGCUCCACAGCCCGCUUCCCGCAACCCAUCUCGAGGGGCGGAGGAGAGGGAGCGCCCACCAAAGAAAGGGCUAGUGAGCCCUAAAACCUCGGCAGUUUUCCCGGUGCGGGAGCUUUAGCACACAUCAGCCCAAUAAUCAGAUGCAGGAAUAAAGCAGGAAGAAGGCUCCUCUCUCCAUCGCACCCCAUCCUUCCUAAGGAAGAAAAAAAGCAUGCAGCAGGAGUUUAGCUGGACGUCUAGGUCCUUUUAUGGGGCGAACAGGCCCGCAAAGCAGGCUGUCUGGAACCUGGAGGAAGAAAGUUGUCCGGCCAAGUGGAUGCCUGGGCGUGAGGGAGUGCAAGGCACCCUGUCCCGAGCCCGCCAGGGGUAGGGGCCAAGGGGAAAGAGACCGGCAUUCGUUUAAGAACCAGCCCCGCGCGCGGCCAGCUGCAGCCGCCGGCGAGCCGACUGGGGAGGGGUGUGGACGCCGAGGCCCGCGGAGUGGUGCCCGCAGCUCUACUUACAUAACGCUUCAACUUUUUCUCCGGGGGGGACUUGCGGAGCCAUCCGGAGCAGACCACUUCACCACCGCUCAUGGUGCGCGCGUCUCGGGCUCCGGGCCGGGCAGCUGAGGGGCGGCGGGCGCGCUCCCGACACAGCCGACGCCUGCCGAGCGCGCAGUGGCGAGAACCUAGCUCUCCUGGUCGCGCACCCCGGACGGACUGGGCGGACAGACUCCACGGUGCGCGGGUUCCACGAGUUCGAGUCUCUCCUCUGCAGGCCCACGAACCUGAACAGAACGCGAGCCGGGGCCGCGGGCGCGCCGGCCUCCUUUCAGUGCGCCCGCCUCGCCUCCAGACGUGCCGUCUCGCCAGCUGCCUCAGCAGCGCUCGGACUCAGCGGGACUCUGCCCCGACUCGGUGCCGGAGCUUCUGUCCUUUGCGCUCCGCCCCCUAGGGACAAGACCUCCCCAGAGCGCUUUCCGAAACAGACACAGCGCUGCUCACACACACACACACACACACACACACACACAAUGCCCCGCGCGGUGCCCGCUCGCCCGCCCACCCGCCCUCGGUUUCGAUGCGCCCGGAGCGAUCCUCCUUCCCUCUCCUCGGGGGAGGGUGGGUCACUUCGCGGCGCUCGGUGAACGCCGAGGAAAGGGGAAGCCGCGAGCCGCCUACGGGCAGCGGGCGCGGGGCUGGUCCCGGGUCACAGAGGGAGCCGCAGGGUUGGCAGCGAAGCGCGGGGCGUUUCUGAGCGGCGGGCGCAGGGAGGUCGCAGGUCAAGCCGGAGGGUGGGUCCGCUCUCGCGGCCGCCGAAGAGGGCGGGGAGCAGCAGAGGAACGAGGCGCUUGGCGGCUUGGCUCCUGGGAGGGAUCCCGCUGUCCCGUCCCCUCGCGCUCCUCCCCCGCCGCCUCCCCCACCCCGGGGCUCGCGGCAGGUCCUGAGCGGCUCGGCCCCAGAUCCCGAUCCCUCCCUCCCUCUCCCGGCCGCCGGGCUCCUUCUUCCUCCCUCUCCUCCUCCCCUUCCCACGUUCAGGCCCGGCUCCGGUUUCUGCCCAGACUUUCUCUGAAACUCCGCCGGAGUGCUUCCAGCCAAAACAACAAGGGCCGGGGGAGGAGACGGACGAAGGGAGGGAGCAAGGGAGGGAGGGAGCGCGAGUCCGAGAGGCACCCUGGGAUCUGUAGUUCGGGAAGCAGGAGCAGGGUCCUCCGCCGUCCGGCGGCCCCCAAUCGGCUCCUCGCCCGGGAAGACCGCAGAGGCCUCGGCUAGGGCAGAGGCACCGGGGCUUGGGCGCGGGGAAGACUGAGGGACAUUCGAAUGUUCAGUCCGGGGCUUGCCAUCUUGACUCAGCCCGGUGCCAGCUCGGAGCUUGUGCUGUGCUCGAGAUCAGGAGUUUCGAGGGUUUUCUUUACUUGAGAGCCUGAAAGGCAAAACCGCGGGGAGACCACCAUCCUGCCGGUCCCCGCCGCGCGAGAUUAAAGGACAGACCAAGAGGGCGCGGGAGCUACCAGCUUGGAGGGGAGGACAGAUGGGGACCCAGGGCUGGCCAGGGCUGGUCUCUGGAGCUGUUCUGCCAGAGUGAUGGGGGCGCUUGGCGAGGCCAAGGAUUUGGUUGGGUCCUAUCUCUGAGACAUUUUGAAGUCUCACACCCCUUCCAUUUGUUGCCUAUUCCACUUAACUUUGUAUUUGUUUGAAAUCUACUGUUCGGAUGCUGGACUAGAAGAGGGACACUUGGCCGGGCGCGGUGGCUCACGCCUGUAAUCCCAGCACUUUGGGAGGCCGAGGCGGGCGGAUCAACUGAGGUCGGGAGUUCAAGACCAGCCUGACCAACAUGGAGAAACCCAAUCUCUACUAAAAAUACAAAAAUUAGCCGGGCGUAGUGGCGCGCGCCUAUAAUCCCAGCUACUCGGGAGGCUGAGACAGGAAAAUAGCUUGAACCCGGGAGGCGGAGAUUGCGGUGAGCCGAGAUCGCGACACUGCGCUCCAGCCUGGGCAACAAGAGCAAAACUCCGUC